AUACGGAGGAUCCGAGCGUUAUCCGGAUUUAUUGGGUUUAAAGGGUGCGCAGGCGGCCAUUUAAGUCAGCGGUUAAAUCGUGGGGCUCAACCCCAUUCUGCCGUUGAUACUGGGUGGCUUGAUUGCGGUCAAGGUUGGCGGAAUUCGUUGUGUAGCGGUGAAAUGCAUAGAUAUGACGAAGAACACCGAUUGCGUAGGCAGCUGACCAGACCGCAAAUGACGCUCAUGCACGAAAGUGCGGGGAUCGAACAGGAUUAGAUACCCUGGUAGUCCGCACAGUAAACGAUGAAUACUUGUUUUCGGCGAUAUAAUGUCGGAGGCAAAGCGAAAGCGAUAAGUAUUCCACCUGGGGAGUACGCCGGCAACGGUGAAACUCAAAUGAAUUGGCGGGG
RNAcentral lists this ribosomal RNA (392 nucleotides) under uncultured bacterium. RNAcentral's name for it is "partial 16S ribosomal RNA". It matches the Rfam family "Bacterial small subunit ribosomal RNA", at positions 523 to 918 of the family's 1533-position model. The record is from RNAcentral.